AUUGAACGCUGGCGGCAUGCCUUACACAUGCAAGUCGAACGGCAGCGCGGGAGCAAUCCUGGCGGCGAGUGGCGAACGGGUGAGUAGUACAUCGGAACGUGCCCAAUCGUGGGGGAUAACGCAGCGAAAGCUGUGCUAAUACCGCAUACGAUCUACGGAUGAAAGCAGGGGAUCGCAAGACCUUGCGCGAAUGGAGCGGCCGAUGGCAGAUUAGGUAGUUGGUGAGGUAAAGGCUCACCAAGCCUUCGAUCUGUAGCUGGUCUGAGAGGACGACCAGCCACACUGGGACUGAGACACGGCCCAGACUCCUACGGGAGGCAGCAGUGGGGAAUUUUGGACAAUGGGCGAAAGCCUGAUCCAGCCAUGCCGCGUGCAGGAUGAAGGCCUUCGGGUUGUAAACUGCUUUUGUACGGAACGAAACGGUCUUUUCUAAUAAAGAAGGCUAAUGACGGUACCGUAAGAAUAAGCACCGGCUAACUACGUG
Molecule: ribosomal RNA, 484 nt
Filed under: uncultured bacterium
Lineage: Bacteria
Description: partial 16S ribosomal RNA
Rfam family: Bacterial small subunit ribosomal RNA
Source: RNAcentral